UCUUAUCAAUUUUGCUGUUAAGUUGGACGCCUGGUCAGUUAACAUUUCUCUUGGGAUCCCCACUCUGGCAAACAGCUGUAUUAAAGCCCUCACGAUGUUACUUGCAUUUGUCUUUUUCAGGGGAAAGGCUUCUGGGAACCGGGUUGCGUAGUCAAACACCACCAGAAUAUAUUUAUGUCCAGUGCAGCUAUGUUCGACAGGACACACAAUGUCAACCGCUAUCCUGGAAAAAGGCUCUUCCAAUACAGGCAAAGACUGCAAACCCUUUGUGGCCUUGUCAAAGCAGACACGCAGACUGGGGUCGUCCCGCUGAGCGGAAGCCACAUCACUCAGCUUUACAGACUGUGCCUCUCUUGUCAGCUUCCCCAAACGGCAGCACAUCCCAGCCAUCCUGGGCAUUUUGUUUUUGCCUUGCCGCUUGGACCCCUGUGA
Erpetoichthys calabaricus (reedfish) is the source of this 432-nucleotide long non-coding RNA. RefSeq lists it as uncharacterized. Lineage: Eukaryota; Metazoa; Chordata; Cladistia; Polypteriformes; Polypteridae. The transcript is spliced from 3 exons. The record is from RefSeq and is a predicted model, not a curated record.